UAUUGGACAAUGGGCGAAAGCCUGAUCCAGCCAUGCCGCGUGUGUGAAGAAGGCCUUCGGAUUGUAAAGCACUUUAAGUUGGGAGGAAGGGUUGUAGGUUAAUACCCUGCAAUUUUGACGUUACCAACAGAAUAAGCACCGGCUAACUUCGUGCCAGCAGCCGCGGUAAUACGAAGGGUGCAAGCGUUAAUCGGAAUUACUGGGCGUAAAGCGCGCGUAGGUGGUUCGUUAAGUUGGAAGUGAAAGCCCCGGGCUUAACCUGGGAAUUGCUUUCAAAACUGACGAGCUAGAGUACGGUAGAGGGUAGUGGAAUUUCCUGUGUAGCGGUGAAAUGCGUAGAUAUAGGAAGGAACACCAGUGGCGAAGGCGACUACCUGGACGAAAACUGACGCUGAUGCACGAAAGCUAGGGGAGCAAACA
This 420-nucleotide ribosomal RNA is filed under the name uncultured bacterium. RNAcentral describes it as "partial 16S ribosomal RNA". It matches the Rfam family "Bacterial small subunit ribosomal RNA", at positions 362 to 774 of the family's 1533-position model. The record is from RNAcentral.